Molecule: signal recognition particle RNA, 101 nt
Filed under: Methylocystaceae bacterium
Lineage: Bacteria; Pseudomonadati; Pseudomonadota; Alphaproteobacteria; Hyphomicrobiales; Methylocystaceae
Description: Bacterial small signal recognition particle RNA
Rfam family: Bacterial small signal recognition particle RNA
About the family: The signal recognition particle (SRP) is a universally conserved ribonucleoprotein involved in the co-translational targeting of proteins to membranes.
Source: Rfam by way of RNAcentral
UGAGAGGUUGGUGCGGACGAGCUCCUCGCCAACCCGGUCAGGUCCGGAAGGAAGCAGCCGUAACGAGUUUUUCGGUUCGGGUCGCAUUCAACCUCUCACCU